AUUGAACGCUGGCGGAAUGCUUUACACAUGCAAGUCGAACGGUAGAGGGGGCAACCCCCUUGAGAGUGGCGAACGGGUGAGUAAUAUAUCGGAACGUGCCCAGUCGUGGGGAUAACGUAGCGAAAGUUACGCUAAUACCGCAUACGAUCUAAGGAUGAAAGCGGGGGACUCGCAAGAGCCUCGCGCGAUUGGAGCGGCCGAUAUCAGAUUAGGUAGUUGGUGGGGUAAAGGCUCACCAAGCCAACGAUCUGUAGCUGGUUUGAGAGAACGACCAGCCACACUGGAACUGAGACACGGUCCAGACUCCUACGGGAGGCAGCAGUGGGGAAUUUUGGACAAUGGGGGCAACCCUGAUCCAGCAAUGCCGCGUGAGUGAAGAAGGCCU
Molecule: ribosomal RNA, 385 nt
Filed under: uncultured bacterium
Lineage: Bacteria
Description: bacterial SSU rRNA
Rfam family: Bacterial small subunit ribosomal RNA
Source: RNAcentral